UACGUAGGGGGCAAGCGUUGUCCGGAUUUAUUGGGCGUAAAGAGCGUGUAGGCGGCCAGACAGGUCCGUUGUGAAAACUCGAGGCUCAACCUCGAGACGCCGAUGGAAACCGUCUGGCUAGAGUCCGGAAGAGGAGAGUGGAAUUCCUGGUGUAGCGGUGAAAUGCGCAGAUAUCAGGAAGAACACCCGUGGCUAAGGCGGCUCUCUAGUACGGUACUGACGCUGAGACGCGAAAGCGUGGGGAGCGAACAG
This 252-nucleotide ribosomal RNA is filed under the name uncultured bacterium. Its description in RNAcentral is "partial 16S ribosomal RNA". It matches the Rfam family "Bacterial small subunit ribosomal RNA", at positions 524 to 775 of the family's 1533-position model. The record is from RNAcentral.